Ictalurus punctatus (channel catfish) is the source of this 713-nucleotide long non-coding RNA. RefSeq lists it as uncharacterized. The record is from RefSeq and is a predicted model, not a curated record. NCBI's taxonomy places the organism in Eukaryota, Metazoa, Chordata, Actinopteri, Siluriformes, Ictaluridae. The transcript has 3 exons.
GAGAUGCCCACUUUCCAUCCUUCGUGUCUGAAAUUCCUCACUGAACCAGAGGCAGAGAUUUCUUGCCUUGUACACCAUGGGUGACAUGCUGGGGAGUGGAGGCUUUGGCACAGUUUAUGAAGGAACUUGUAAGAAAGAUGGACAACAGAGACCACGCGGUGGACGCAGUUGGGGGUCCUGUCCAAGGAUCCCACAGAUGGAUACCACGUGGGCAUUUCUGCGUUCAGUGAGCGUCUUCAUCGCAAAUGAGUCACGUUCCUGUCUUGCGGAGUCAACAUCAUAAAACUAGGGACCGCAACGACCUGGAUUGCAACAACCUUGCCAUGUGUUUGGCAGGGCAUGAUAAGCAUGUCUGCCAAAAGCCCACAAUGUGCUUUUGGCACAAUUUCAGAUCAAUGCCCAAAUAUUCACUAACCUGCUUAAGGGCCGGGCUGACGAAAAGUGUAUCCUUGUCACUGGAGAUUUUAGUGGUAAUUCCCCACCUAGGAAUUAUGUCCCUAAGCAGUGUCUUUGCUACUGCGUCUGGGUACUGUUUGGACGUAGGGAAUGCUUCCACCCGUUUAGAGAACUAGGUUUGUCUGGAGUUGGGUGUGCGGCCUUCUCUACCUUCAAACCCAUGAUAUGAGUUGCGCAAACACCGUAAACAAAUUUUUUUUUUAAAAGAGUAAUUAGAGAAGCAUUUGGUAAACCAAUGCUUUGUUAUCACAGCUAUC